Molecule: long non-coding RNA, 3540 nt
Filed under: Setaria italica (foxtail millet)
Lineage: Eukaryota; Viridiplantae; Streptophyta; Magnoliopsida; Poales; Poaceae
Description: long non-coding RNA (SITA_LNC003518)
Source: RNAcentral
AAAGGGGGUGUUUUUGCAAAUGCAACUUACAUAUCAAUUUACGGAAAUGAAAAGCUUUGUGGUGGAACACCUCAACUUCAAUUAGCUCCAUGUUCCAUGCCUGUUGUGGAAAAGAAGAGGAAAAUGUCAAAAUCUCUUAUGGUCACUUUAACAUCAAUCAGCACACUUGUAAUCUUGGUUCUAGUGGCUGCUCUUGUUCAGUUGAUCCCCAAGAAGCUCAAAAAAAGGCGUCAAAGUCAAAUCAUACCCACAAUCGAGGAACAAUAUGAAAGAGUUUCUUAUCAAGAAUUGUCAAAUGGGACCAAUGGUUCGUCAAAGGAUAAUUUGGUUGGACAAGGAAGUUAUGGCGUGGUUUAUAAAUGUACUUUACAAAAUCAGGGCACUACGUCAGCUGUAAAGGUGUUUAACAUACAACAACCUGGAUCUGCUAGGAGUUUUGAAGCUGAAUGUGAGGCAUUGAGAAGGGUGCGUCACCAUUGUCUCAUGAACAUCAUCACCUGCUGCUCAAGCAUCAAUCAUCAAGGUUAAGAGUUCAAGGCACUUGUUUUUGAGUUCAUGCCAAAUGGUAGCCUGAAUGAUUGGCUUCACCCAAAGUCUGACACAUUUGCUCAAACAAACACUCUUAGCCUAGUUCAAAGGUUACACAUUGCUGUAAAUAUCGUGGAUGCUUUGGACUAUCUUCAUAAUCAUUGUGAGCCAUCAAUCAUUCAUUGCGAUCUCAAACCGAGCAACAUCCUUCUUGCAGAAGACAUGAGUGCUCGAGUUGGAGACUUUGGCAUAUCAAGAAUCCUUCAAGAAAAUCCUAGUAACACAGUACAAAAUUCGAAUAGCACAAUUGGAAUACGAGGCUCUAUUGAUUAUGUUGCCCCAGGCAAUUGUAAUACGAGGUCAAAGACUGCACAGUGAACUCUAGACCCGUCAAAGAAGUAACGAUAUAAUUUAUUCCGCCUAGGAAUCAAGGAAGAAUGACCCUCUGAUGGUCCUUGCUCCUGCAACAGAAACUAGUACAAGUCAAACACGAUGUCCCCAUCACUCUUUGGCAGCUAGCCACUCACAUAUGGACAUCACAGGAUCAAGAUAGCACAUCAAGCAACAUAGUUACCACACCAACAGAUAUGGACAUGCAGUCAGCAACGACCUUGCUCCUGCUAUCCGCCUCCAUAUUCAUCUCCAUCCCAGCGGCUGCAGAAGCCGACGACCAGGCCACACUGCUCGCAUUCAAGGCCGCGGCAACUCGCGGUGGCCAUGGCAACGCACUUGCUUCGUGGAACAGCAGCAGCGCCGGCGGGUUCUGCAGCUGGGAGGGUGUUACCUGCGGGAGCAGGCACCGGAGAGUGGUGGCGCUGAGCCUGCGUUCCCACGGGCUCACCGGCGUCCUCUCGCCGGUGAUCGGGAACCUGUCAUUCCUCAGGACUCUCAACCUGAGCAAGAACGGGUUCAACGGGAACGUUCCCGCGAGCCUUGGCCGUUUGCGCCACCUGCAGGCCCUCAACUUGAGCUACAACGCCUUCUCCGGUGAGCUCCCAGCCAACCUGUCCUCAUGCACUAGUUUAACGAUCAUGGCCCUCCAGUCCAACCAUCUCCAAGGGUACAUACCUCCCGAGCUCGGUGACAAUCUAGCACGCCUCACGAGGCUCCAACUGCGGGAAAACAACCUGAUUGGAACCAUUCCAGCAUCACUUGGCAACUUGUCGUCACUGCGUAUGCUGGACCUCGCAUCCAACCAGUUCGACGGCGCCAUCCCUCCCAGUCUUGGUAGCAUCCUCGGCCUCCAGUAUCUUAAUCUCGCCUUCAACAACCUCUCCGGCGAGUUCCCCAACUCAUUGUACAACUUGUCUUCGUUGCAAGUGUUGGAAACUCUAUCCAACGUGCUCGAGGGAAGCAUUCCUGCAGACAUCGGAAGUAGAUUCCCCAAGAUGUGGUUACUUACCUUUGCUCAUAACAGGUUCACCGGAACCAUCCCAUCUUCGUUCUCCAACCUCACUUCUCUCCAAGGACUAGACCUCUCUGUAAACAUGCUCAGUGGAUAUUUGCCUCCCACACUUGGUAGGCUACCAGCUCUGCAAGGUCUAUACUUGUACGGCAACAUGUUGGAAACAGACAAAAUGCAGCUACGGGAAUUCAUUACUUCGUUGUCAAACUGUAGUCAACUCCGGCUAUUAAUGCUCAAUGACAAUGCCGGUCUCGCUGGGCAGCUGCCAAGUUCAGUAGUGAAUCUCUCAACAAGCCUCCAAGUUCUCCGCUUCGAUUUCACAAGUAUCUCGGGGACAAUUCCCUCAGCCAUCAGCAAUUUGGUCAACCUCCGAAUCUUCAUUGCAGGGGCUACUUCCAUAUCUGGAUUAAUUCCAAAGAGCAUUGGAGAACUGACAAACUUGGGAUGGCUAGGUUUGCACCAAACUAACUUGUCGGGUCGAAUACCUUCAUCUAUUGGAAAUCUCUCAAAUUUAGUUAGCCUUCUUGCCCACGACAGCAAUCUGGAGGGACCAAUUCCAGCAAGCAUAGUGAACAUGACUAAUUUAUUGAAACUCGAUCUAGCAAUGAACCGUCUGAAUGGUUCGCUUCCCAAAGAGAUUUUCAAAUUACCAGUAAUCUCUAUUUACUUAAACCUGUCAUACAAUUCACUAUCAGGAUCACUCCCCUCUGAAGUUGGUAGCUUUGGAAACCUUAACAGCCUGGUUCUCUCCGGAAACCAAUUUUCCGGUGAGAUACCAAAUACUAUUGGGGGAUGCAUUGUGCUUCAACAACUUAGAUUGGACAAUAACUUAUUUGAAGGAAGCAUACCUCAAUCUCUCAACAAUAUAAAGGGCCUGAGCGAACUCAACCUAUCAUUGAAUAGGUUGUCUGGUUCUAUUCCUAAUGCCAUUGGAAGCAUAUAUAACGUACAACAGUUGUAUCUAGCAUACAACAAUUUGUCAGGGCCGAUACCUUCAGUUCUGCAAAAUUUGACAUCAUUAUCAAGGUUGGACCUGUCCUUUAACAAUCUGGAAGGGGAAGUGCCAAAAGAUGGCAUUUUUAGAAACUUGACCAACCUGUCGAUUUCUGGAAACAAUGAACUUUGUGGUGGAAUACCUCAGCUUCAUUUAGCACCAUGCAAAAUGGACUCUGUGAAAAAGAAUAGAGAAGGGCGGUCAAAGUCUCUAACAAUAGCUCUGACAACUAUUGGUGCGAUCUUUUUCUUAACUUUGGUUACAGUUUCAAUUCAGAUCAUCUCUAAGAAACUUAGACGAAAGCAACAGAGCCCAUUCCAACCACCAAUAGUUGAUGAACAGUAUGAAAGAGUUUCUUAUCAAGCAAUAGCAAAUGGAACCAAUGGUUUUUCAGAAGCCAAUUUGCUAGGUAAAGGAAGUUUUGGCAUGGUCUAUAAAUGCACUUUCCAAGAUGAGGGAACUAUUGCUGCAGUGAAGGUUUUUAACCUUGAGCAAUCCGGAUCUACUAGAAGUUUUGUGGCUGAAUGUGAAGCGCUUAGAAGGGUGCGGCACCGUAGUCUCAUAAAGAUCAUUACAUGCUGCUCAAGCAUCAAUCACCAAGGCCAAGAGUUCA